GAUGAACGCUGUCGGCGUGCUUAACACAUGCAAGUCGAACGGAAAGGCCCAAGCUUGCUUGGUUACUCGAGUGGCGAACGGGUGAGUAACACGUGGGUGAUCUGCCCUGCACUUCGUGAUAAGCCUGGGAAACUGGGUCUAAUACCGGAUAGGACCACAUUUUGGAUGGUGUGGUGGAAAGUUUUUCGGUGUGGGGUGAGCUCGCGGCCUAUCAGCUUGUUGGUGGGGUAAUGGCCUACCAAGGCGUCGACGGGUAGCCGGCCUGAGAGGGUGUACGGCCACAUUGGGACUGAGAUACGGCACAGACUCCUACGGGAGGCAGCAGUGGGGAAUAUUGCACAAUGGGCGCAAGCCUGAUGCAGCGACGCCGCGUGGGGGAUGAAGGCCUUCGGGUUGUAAACUCCUUUCGCUAGGGACGAAGCGCAAGUGACGGUACCUGGAGAAGAAGCACCGGCUAACUACGUG
This 465-nucleotide ribosomal RNA is filed under the name uncultured bacterium. RNAcentral describes it as "partial 16S ribosomal RNA". It matches the Rfam family "Bacterial small subunit ribosomal RNA", at positions 28 to 507 of the family's 1533-position model. The record is from RNAcentral.